UUCUUUAAUUUAAUUUAAUACAUUGUCAAGCUUGCUUGAAUCAUUUAUUCUUGCACUCUCAAUGCUUUUCCCUAAUGUCAUAUAGGUUGGCAUCCUAUUCUUCCACCGGAGAAGACAACAGAUGAUAUUUUGCUUUUUUUCAAGCUAUAUGACCCGGAGAAAAAAGAGAUUCGGUAUGUUGGAAGGCUUUUUGUUAAGGGUAUUGAUAAGCCUGUGGAUAUCCUAACAAAACUAAAUCAAAUGGCUGGCUUUAACCCUAACGAAGAAAUAGAUCUUUAUGAGGAAAUUCAGUUUAAGCCUAGUGUCAUUUGUGAACAAAUUGACAAGGAAG
This is a long non-coding RNA of Telopea speciosissima, 331 nucleotides long. RefSeq lists it as uncharacterized. The record is from RefSeq and is a predicted model, not a curated record. NCBI's taxonomy places the organism in Eukaryota, Viridiplantae, Streptophyta, Magnoliopsida, Proteales, Proteaceae. The transcript has 3 exons.